GUGCCUGCGGAAGGAUCAUUACCGAGUGAGGGCCCUCUGGGUCCAACCUCCCACCCGUGUCUAUCGUACCUUGUUGCUUCGGCGGGCCCGCCGUUUCGACGGCCGCCGGGGAGGCCUUGCGCCCCCGGGCCCGCGCCCGCCGAAGACCCCAACAUGAACGCUGUUCUGAAAGUAUGCAGUCUGAGUUGAUUAUCGUAAUCAGUUAAAACUUUCAACAACGGAUCUCUUGGUUCCGGCAUCGAUGAAGAACGCAGCGAAAUGCGAUAAGUAAUGUGAAUUGCAGAAUUCAGUGAAUCAUCGAGUCUUUGAACGCACAUUGCGCCCCCUGGUAUUCCGGGGGGCAUGCCUGUCCGAGCGUCAUUGCUGCCCUCAAGCACGGCUUGUGUGUUGGGCCCCCGUCCCCCUCUCCCGGGGGACGGGCCCGAAAGGCAGCGGCGGCACCGCGUCCGGUCCUCGAGCGUAUGGGGCUUUGUCACCUGCUCUGUAGGCCCGGCCGGCGCCAGCCGACACCCAACUUUAUUUUCUAAGGUGACCUCGGAUCAGUAGACCAUC
This 552-nucleotide ribosomal RNA is filed under the name Aspergillus fumigatus. RNAcentral describes it as "eukaryotic LSU rRNA". The stretch from base 207 to 360 matches the Rfam family "5.8S ribosomal RNA". The record is from RNAcentral. Lineage: Eukaryota; Fungi; Ascomycota; Eurotiomycetes; Eurotiales; Aspergillaceae.